RNAcentral lists this ribosomal RNA (443 nucleotides) under uncultured bacterium. Its description in RNAcentral is "partial 16S ribosomal RNA". It matches the Rfam family "Bacterial small subunit ribosomal RNA", at positions 338 to 795 of the family's 1533-position model. The record is from RNAcentral.
CCUACGGGAGGCUGCAGUGGGGGAUAUUGGACAAUGGGGGGAACCCUGAUCCAGCGACGCCGCGUGAGUGAAGAAGUAUUUCGGUAUGUAAAGCUCUGUCAGCAGGGAAGAAAGAAAUGACGGUACCUGACCAAGAAGCCCCGGCUAACUACGUGCCAGCAGCCGCGGUAAUACGUAGGGGGCAAGCGUUAUCCGGAAUUACUGGUUGUAAAGGGGGCGUAGACGGUUAAGUAAGUCUGGAGUGAAAGGCCGGGGCCCAACCCCGGGACUGCUCUGGAAACUAUUGAACUUGAGUGCAGGAGAGGUAAGCGGAAUUCCUAGUGUAGCGGUGAAAUGCGUAGAUAUUAGGAGGAACACCAGUGGCGAAGGCGGCUUACUGGACUGUAACUGACGUUGAGGCUCGAAAGCGUGGGGAGCAAACAGGAUUAGAUACCCGGGUAGUC